Long non-coding RNA from Haemorhous mexicanus (house finch), 689 nucleotides. RefSeq lists it as uncharacterized. The record is from RefSeq and is a predicted model, not a curated record. The transcript has 2 exons. NCBI's taxonomy places the organism in Eukaryota, Metazoa, Chordata, Aves, Passeriformes, Fringillidae.
GGGAAGUUCUACCCAUGUCGGAAGAGGCCGAGUGAGGCUUGAAGCCCCAGCUGGGGCAGGCUGUGGGUCGGGGAGUGCCCUGCGGAGAAGUGAAACAACUGGAGAAAUGUGGGGCCCCACUAUCACAGUGAUGCGAUGGGAAGGAGUGUGUGUACAGAGACGACGGGUGAGGAGGGCGGUGGUGCCCUCGAUCUUCGGUGGAAGAGAAGAGGAUCUCUGUUCUUGAGACCCCUCGGCCCCAGGGGGUGAAAUUUGGGGGGGGACAGGUGUCCCAAGAGUGAGAGACUGUACCCUUUUUGGAACUGGGCAAAGCACCCUUAAAAGGAAAACCCUAGAAGCAGCUCUGGUCCAUGCACAGUGGUGAGAGCACUGUACAUAGAAGGAAGAUGUCAUGAUGGCAAAUGUUCUCCGGGCGGUGCCACGUGAUAUGGAAACACAAGAGGUUUCAACUGUGUUUCCAUGGGAAGCCUGUGGCACAAGAAGGACUCCUCUCUCCUUGAUGAACUGAGAAUUGAUUAUCUAAAGAGUGGUGAUAUACUGAGAGUUGAUGAUCUGAGGGGUGGAUGUAUUGGAAAUUUGGUGGGGGGGAGGAGGAAUGUUUUUUGGAAGGUUUUCAUUCCGAGUUCUGUGUGUGUUUCUCUUUAUAUAUAGCUGUAGGUUAAUAAAGUUCUUUUCCUUUUUAUUCCUAA